UCUACGGGAGGCAGCAGUGGGGAAUAUUGGACAAUGGGCGAAAGCCUGAUCCAGCCAUGCCGCGUGUGUGAAGAAGGCCUUCGGGUUGUAAAGCACUUUCAGUGGGGAAGAAAGCCUUGGGGCUAAUACCCUCGAGGAAGGACAUCACCCACAGAAGAAGCACCGGCUAACUCCGUGCCAGCAGCCGCGGUAAUACGGAGGGUGCGAGCGUUAAUCGGAAUUACUGGGCGUAAAGCGCGCGUAGGCGGUCUGAUAAGCCGGUUGUGAAAGCCCCGGGCUCAACCUGGGAACGACAUCCGGAACUGUCAGGCUAGAGUGCAGGAGAGGAAGGUAGAAUUCCCGGUGUAGCGGUGAAAUGCGUAGAGAUCGGGAGGAAUACCAGUGGCGAAGGCGGCCUUCUGGACUGACACUGACGCUGAGGUGCGAAAGCGUGGGUAGCAAACAGGAUUAGAUACCCCUGUAGUC
Molecule: ribosomal RNA, 465 nt
Filed under: Vreelandella stevensii
Lineage: Bacteria; Pseudomonadati; Pseudomonadota; Gammaproteobacteria; Oceanospirillales; Halomonadaceae
Description: partial 16S ribosomal RNA
Rfam family: Bacterial small subunit ribosomal RNA
Source: RNAcentral